This 747-nucleotide long non-coding RNA is filed under the name Medicago truncatula (barrel medic). RNAcentral's name for it is "long non-coding RNA (MTRU_LNC004730)". The record is from RNAcentral. Lineage: Eukaryota; Viridiplantae; Streptophyta; Magnoliopsida; Fabales; Fabaceae.
AAAACAUGCUAAAAAUAACGUAAGAUGACCUGUCAUCAUUUGGUUCAAGGAAAGAGUACCAUGAGAAGGUUGUUUAUAUCAAUGAUAAACCGUACUACACAGUGAAUCUACUAAUAUUCUCCCUAAUUGAUUUUCCAUGUUCUCCAUAUAACCUUGCAAAAUUAAGAAUCUUAUAAUCUCUAGACAGAGGCACCAACAUUUCAACCCAUUGAGCAUAUGAUUUAGUAGCUGACAAUUAUAUAGAAUUGAGUGAACCUGUUGAGGCCCGACUGAUGGAACAAUCAAAUGGAUUUGUGGAGCAACGCCUUCCUAAGAUUGUCUCCCUUGCAUACCUUGCUCGUACAACCUCCAAACCCAUGUCUCGUUGAAACUCAUUUUGAACCAUGGGUUUCACAUUUUCAGCAAGUUGUUUGAAGACUUAAAACAUGAUGUCAUGUGUCCACAUGUCAAUAUGUUGUCUAACUAAAGACAUGGACGUUACUAUUAGAGUAUCAAGUGUUUCAACUAAUUGUAUCUCAUAGACGCUAGAAGAAACCAUGGAAGUUGGCGUUCUUGACAUUUGAGAAGGUUUGUUUGGUUGAGAAUGUCCUGACUUUCUAGUUGUUGAUGGUGAUGGUUUUCCAUACUAUUGAGAUUCUUUCUAGACCCCAAGUUGAUACAACUGGCGUAAAUUUGACCUAGGGAAUUUUAUUUUGAGUGUUAUAAGGUUGUAUUGUCCCACUCGGAGUGCCAAAUUUAAUGAUGGAA